UACGUAGGGUCCGAGCGUUGUCCGGAAUUACUGGGCUGAAGAAGACUCGUAGGUGGUUUGUCGCGUUGUUCGUGAAAACUCACAGCUUAACUGUGGGCGUGCGGGCGAUACGGGCAGACUUGAGUACUGCAGGGGAGACUGGAAUUCCUGGUGUAGCGGUGGAAUGCGCAGAUAUCAGGAGGAACACCGAUGGCGAAGGCAGAUCUCUGGGCCGUAACUGACGCUGAGGAGCGAAAGCGUGGGGAGCGAACAGG
This 254-nucleotide ribosomal RNA is filed under the name uncultured bacterium. Its description in RNAcentral is "partial 16S ribosomal RNA". It matches the Rfam family "Bacterial small subunit ribosomal RNA", at positions 524 to 776 of the family's 1533-position model. The record is from RNAcentral.